GCGUCCAUCGUCUAAUGGAUAGGACAGA
RNAcentral lists this transfer RNA (28 nucleotides) under Taxus baccata (English yew). RNAcentral's name for it is "partial tRNA-Arg". RNAcentral also lists the same sequence under 9 other names. The record is from RNAcentral. Lineage: Eukaryota; Viridiplantae; Streptophyta; Pinopsida; Cupressales; Taxaceae.